CAAUAGCGUAUAUUAAAGUUGUUGCAGUUAAAAAGCUCGUAGUUGGAUUUCUGGUUUGAUGCCCUGGCCCGCGGUCAACUGAUCGUGUGUGCCGGUUGUGCGUCUGCCAUCCUUCUAGAGAACGUUCCUACCCUUAAUUGGGCCGGGUUCGAGAUCUAGAUCUUUUACUUUGAAAAAUUAGAGUGUUUAAAGCAGGCAUUUGCUAUGAAUACAUUAGCAUGGAAUAAUAAUCUAGGACUUCGGUUCUAUUUUGUUGGUUUCUAGUACUGAAGUAAUGAUUGAUAGGGAUAGUUGGGGGUGGCUAGUAUUGAGCGGCCAGAGGUGAAAUUCUUGGAUUCGCUCAAGACUAACUUAUGCGAAAGCAUUCACCAAGGAUGUCUUCUUUAAUCAAGAACGAAAGUUGGGGGAUCAAAGACGAUCAGAUACCGU
RNAcentral lists this ribosomal RNA (429 nucleotides) under uncultured eukaryote. Its description in RNAcentral is "SSU rRNA". It matches the Rfam family "Eukaryotic small subunit ribosomal RNA", at positions 592 to 1018 of the family's 1831-position model. The record is from RNAcentral.